UCUCCCGAAGCUCAACAGGCUGAGCAGGCGACUGUUAACCGCAAGGCACCUGGUUCGAGUCCAGGCGGGAGAG
RNAcentral lists this transfer RNA (73 nucleotides) under Cryptosporangium aurantiacum. It matches the Rfam family "tRNA". From Rfam's summary of the family: Transfer RNA (tRNA) molecules are approximately 80 nucleotides in length. Their secondary structure includes four short double-helical elements and three loops (D, anti-codon, and T loops). Further hydrogen bonds mediate the characteristic L-shaped molecular structure. tRNAs have two regions of fundamental functional importance: the anti-codon, which is responsible for specific mRNA codon recognition, and the 3' end, to which the tRNAs corresponding amino acid is attached (by aminoacyl-tRNA synthetases). tRNAs cope with the degeneracy of the genetic code in two manners: having more than one tRNA (with a specific anti-codon) for a particular amino acid; and 'wobble' base-pairing, i.e. permitting non-standard base-pairing at the 3rd anti-codon position. Lineage: Bacteria; Bacillati; Actinomycetota; Actinomycetes; Cryptosporangiales; Cryptosporangiaceae. The record is from Rfam by way of RNAcentral.